RNAcentral lists this long non-coding RNA (723 nucleotides) under Sorghum bicolor (sorghum). Its description in RNAcentral is "long non-coding RNA (SBIC_LNC006659)". Lineage: Eukaryota; Viridiplantae; Streptophyta; Magnoliopsida; Poales; Poaceae. The record is from RNAcentral.
AUUAAAUCAUGAUGUGCAUGUGUGGUGGAGUAAAUGAUAGUAAUGGUAAAAAUGUAUUAGUGAUGAUAAAACUUACUUCUCAUUGCUCCUCAUAUUGCUAUCUCUCCUCCUCUCUUGAUCUUUGCUUUGGGAGAACAUGGGCUAUCUUUUCUUCUCUCUUUCUUUUUUUUUCAGGUGGGUAGUAAAUACCCCUAAUUCUACUAUCGGACACUUGUCCAUUUAUUCCGCUCAGGUGGGCAUCUUGGUACCCCUAAUUCUACUCCGGAUACUUGUCCAUUUUUACCUCUCGUCUCACUCUUUUUCUUUCUUUUCGAGGUUCCGGGCACUUGCCCCUUUUUAUUUCCUCGUAUAUUUUUGCAUAACCCAUGCCUCUUCUAAAUUGAAUGUUUUUGGGGAGAGAGAAUAACAACACUUGGGACAGUGAGUGAUAACAAUAUUUUUAGCAGUUUUUGAAUGAAUGGUGAUGGAUGGUGUAGUAGAUGUGUGCAAGUGAGUAUCUUGAUUUAAUCACAUGAAAGCUCCUAAGGGUCUACACAGCUCAAUCAAACUCAAUGUGAAUAUAAGUAGCAAAAGAUAUGGAAAUUAUAGCAAGUAUGGCUGUGGUAGGAAUUUUGUCAUGCUAGGAACUCAUCAUGUGAUUUGCAAGUUUUCAAAAAUGAAUCUCUAGAACUUAGUGUAGUAAGAACAAGAUAAACAAUAGCUCAAACUUUAUAUCAUGUCUAU